Long non-coding RNA from Panicum hallii, 1956 nucleotides. RefSeq lists it as uncharacterized. Lineage: Eukaryota; Viridiplantae; Streptophyta; Magnoliopsida; Poales; Poaceae. The transcript is spliced from 5 exons. The record is from RefSeq and is a predicted model, not a curated record.
GCGUGUGCCCACCACCAGACCAGAGCCCCAGCGUCCUACAAGGCUACGACAACCUUUGGCUGUUCCUUGCCCCAAGGUGCCAGCAUCCUAGAACACGAAGCAUGGCAAAAGAUGGAAGUAUAUAUAGGCCUCAUCUGCAGGGAAGGGAAGGUUAAUGUUCUGACCGGGCUUCUUUGUUGCUGGGGAAGGCGCGGUGCGUGUUUCAGAUUGAGUUUCUAAUGUGUUGCCAUGGACGAAAGGUGAGAUGAUCUGGAAACAAAUGUUUCCUGGAGCACCAAUCCCCUGCCUGAUAAAGCAAACGAAAAGUGGUUAGUUGAUAUUCCUGUGGUUUAUCCAAGCAUCAUAUACCCACUUUUUUCUCCACUCAAAAGUCAAAGGCACAGUAAUCUCAAGUUUUCAACGAUGUCGGAACUCAAAAGGGUGUGCCAUAUGCAUGUCAAUGUGCAAAACGCAUUGUACCGCGUCAUCAGGGGGCAAAAAAGGAAGUGAUAGUAUUUUCUCACAAUGUCUUUCAAAAAAUCUGCUAUUUUUGUGGAUCGAGGCCAAUUGUGCUGGCAAUGGGGGCCUCAAUCAAAGUGACAAUCCUAGACAAGGAACCAGAUUUUGCAGAGCUGCAUUUGGAAUACGAAACAGCUUAGCUCAUUGCAACGAUCAGUGGGUGAUUCUUCAGUGAUUGGGCACAAUAAGUAAAAAUAAUUCACAUUCAAAUACAAGCCACAAAAUCAAGCAAAUCUGUGAGAUUCUAGUCUAGAUAACAAAAGCAGGAGGGCAAAUGAAACAGGAACAGGGGAGCCCUACUAGAUGCAGAUCAAUCAAGAAUGAUAAGCCCCUAAUCCAGCUGUGGAGCGCCACCCUGAGUAACUAACACGAGAAUUAUUACCUCUACAGAGAGUACAGACAAGUCUAUCAGCCAAACCUGCCUUGUGAAAAAGGUAAUGCAGUUUGUAGACCAAUAUCUAGAUUAACGAAUCAAUAUACUGAGCUAGAUUGCGGAAGAGUAAUGUCAUUAAUUUUACAAUCUCAGUUUAAUUUCUAAAAGUUCAGCCAUAAGCAUCUUUGGCAUCUUAAAACAAGAAACAUGUCUGGACCCUGGAUAGCCACCAAACACUCAGGUUUGAUUUCUUAUAUUUUUGCAAGUUUCCUAACCUGUCAAAUAUCAGGAGCUCCGGUACAACAGAACAGCAUCAUUGCCAAGACUCUGAAACUAAGUCAUAGGCUUCUAAUGGAGGUUCAUACAUUUAUGGUGGAGAUGCCUAAUGAGGAAUUAUGGACUAUCAAGUCCUGGCUAUUUUGUAGUAUCAGGUGUAAGCAUCGGAAAACAAAGAUAUCACCAUAUGUCCUUUCUUGUGGGAAAAUGCUUCGUUCAAUAUCAUAUGAUAUGCCAAGAUUUGUGGAGAAGUCCAGUCCAUGGAAAAUUGUCAUACCAUUCUGUUGCAGGCCUAAUUGACAGAAUACCAUCCAAAGUUGUGACAUUGUCAAAGAGACAUUGGUUGUGUGUGUCACAGCUGACGUCCCAACAUCGGAUGGCAUUUUGGCAAGUGAGUUCCAACAUAAUGCUUUGAUGGCAAAUUAAUGGAUCACUCACAACUGCUGCUGCUACCUUCAAGCAAACAGGGAAGAAAAAUUAGCUAUGUCUACAGUACGGAAGUCCAGAUAGCAAGAGAAAAUUCGUUAUCAGGCAGGAUGGUAAUAUGCAAGCUGUGUCCAAGUUUGCAGGAUACCAUGAGGCAAAAAAGAAAGAAGAAAAAGGGAGACACAGGUAUUAUCGUUUUAACAAAAUCAAAGCUCAAGAAGCAGGAAAAGGCCUAUGAAAUGCUGAGGUUUUGGUUAGCAUAUAUGUUGGACAGAAGCACACCAGCACCUCCUUUGUAUGAGCAGACUGAAUCAAUCUUACUGAGCACGAGCUCCCCAAUCUCCAAUUCAUUAUUGAUACUGCAUGCACUCAGCAGGGCCCCA